Molecule: transfer RNA, 61 nt
Filed under: Paenibacillus polymyxa
Lineage: Bacteria; Bacillati; Bacillota; Bacilli; Caryophanales; Paenibacillaceae
Also listed under: 1 other name
Description: tRNA-Thr
Source: RNAcentral
ACGGGAACUGUACCGGAACGCACUCGUAAUGCGCAGGCCGGGGGUUCAAUUCCCUUCACCA